Molecule: long non-coding RNA, 1636 nt
Filed under: Penaeus monodon (black tiger shrimp)
Lineage: Eukaryota; Metazoa; Arthropoda; Malacostraca; Decapoda; Penaeidae
Description: uncharacterized LOC119581774
Source: RNAcentral
AGGUUUUCCUCCAGAAGACGUAGGAAUCUUCAAACUUGGGUAUUGGCUUGUAACAGUGCUAUACUGCAGUUGAUUGUUAACCCAUUAUUCCCGGUUGUCAAAAUCUGAGAGUAAUUAAACUCUGGUGAUAUCUGGCAACGGCCAGUCAGUGGCCACGGGAAUCCGCUGCGUGAAGCCAAAAGAGCAGUUUGCUAUGACGUGUCAACACGUGACCCGGUGUGACCUGGCGGGAACAAAUUAAAGAACAAUGAUUGGCUUCUGUGAAUUCCUUGUGUGAAGAUGAUCUAAAAUGUUGGCUAACUCGGCAUGUAUACUGUAGAAUCCAUGGAGAAAUUCUCUUAAAAGGGAACUCAGGAGCUCCCUUAGUUCCUCAAAGGAUGAAACUGCACAGAUGGUCUGAUUCAGGAAAAAAGACUGAAGAAUGCACAUUAGGAAUUUGUGCUACAAAUUCAAGAAUUCGUGUUUAUGCAUUUCCUGGCAAUUAAGGAAUCAAAACUUUGGGAUUUUGGCUGGUAGUAAAAGGCACACUGCAAGACAUCGGAUUGAUUAUAGGACAAAGAUUUGUUUCCCAGCUGUAUUUCUUCUUUCUUGAUGGUGCUUUUUCUUUAGGAUGUAGGAACCUUCAAAAACUUCUGGUUUUGUAAAGACUGAUGUACUGCAAGUUCUGAUUUUAGGGCAAAGAUUGGUCCAAUCUCGGUUCCCUGUAGUCUGCUUCAGGAAUUUUGGAUUCUAAUAAUGCACUGCAAGUUGGCUGAUUGGUUUUAGGACAAAUAUCCCAAUAUGGGGUGCUGAAGAUGAACUGUAAUGUGGGGAAAAGUCGGCAGAUUUGAAGGGAUAUUUGAUUCUAAUAAUGGACUGGAAAUUGGCCACUUGAUUUUAAGGACAAAUAACGAUUUGUUUUGCCGUGAUUUCUGUUUCUGGGGUGAAGGCUGUGAUAUCUACAUUGCUCUCUAAACAGCAAAGGCCGGAGGGAAUAAGGCACUUUUUAUUGGAACACCAUUACUGCAGCUGGUUUACAAGAGGUAAAAGUAGCAGGUAAGUAGCAUCAAGUCGAGCAGGAAACCUUCUGGGGACUGUCCUGUGUUCAGUGGUUGGUUGGAGAAAAUUAAGGACUAGAAUUAAUGCCUAUACAUCAUUUAGCUCUUGACAUUAAAUUAUUCAGAAUUUUUUUUUUUUUUUUUUUUUUUUUUUUUUUUUUUUUUUUAUGCAAAUUAACAAAUGUAAAUUGUCAUUUAUUUUAAUUGUGAAAAGUUAAACCUCACAGGAUGAGCAGUUCUUUGCAUCACUCGGUUCAAAGUCCAGGAAAGUCCUUCAUUUUCAGGUGGAAGCUGAUUUAGUGAAUGUUCUAGUUCUUAGGGGUAACUUUUUUAACAAUUGUUAUAGGUCUUGGGUCCUUUCUGUCUUGUUUUUAGGAAAUAAUGUAAUACAGGUCCUUAAAGUCGCUGAUGUAGAUUGAUAUAAUUGAAUGCCUAAUAAUUUACUUGAUUUUAGAAACUUCAAAAUUAGUCAGAUUUAAUACCGACCUUUUCAGGAAGGAUUAAUUUUCUUUGAAGUUUUCAAUAGAUAUUAAUUUUAGUGCAUGCUUCUGCGUGUUGUACCCCCUUUUCUUGGCGAGAAAUAAAAUGGAAAAUAAAAA